GGGGGCAUAGCUCAGCUGGGAGAGCGCCACGUUCGCAACGUGGAAGUCGAGGGUUCGAGUCCCUUUGUCUCCACCA
This 76-nucleotide transfer RNA is filed under the name Clostridiaceae bacterium. RNAcentral's name for it is "tRNA-Ala". It matches the Rfam family "tRNA". Rfam says of the family: Transfer RNA (tRNA) molecules are approximately 80 nucleotides in length. Their secondary structure includes four short double-helical elements and three loops (D, anti-codon, and T loops). The record is from RNAcentral. Lineage: Bacteria; Bacillati; Bacillota; Clostridia; Eubacteriales; Clostridiaceae.